GAUGAACGCUGGCGGCGUGCUUAACACAUGCAAGUCGAACGAAGCUGUUAAAAGGAAGUCUUCGGAUGGAAUUUUAACAGACUUAGUGGCGGACGGGUGAGUAACGCGUGGAUAACCUGCCUUAUACAGGGGGAUAACGGAGAGAAAUUUCCGCUAAGACCGCAUAAGACCACAGCACCGCAUGGUGCAGGGGUAAAAUAUUAAUAGGUAUAAGAUGGAUCCGCGUCCGAUUAGCUUGUUGGUGAGGUAGAGGCUCACCAAGGCGACGAUCGGUAGCCGGCCUGAGAGGGUGAACGGCCACAUUGGGACUGAGACACGGCCCAAACUCCUACGGGAGGCAGCAGUGGGGAAUAUUGGACAAUGGGGGAAACCCUGAUCCAGCGACGCCGCGUGAGUGAAGAAGUAUUUCGGUAUGUAAAGCUCUAUCAGCAGGGAAGAAAAUGACG
Molecule: ribosomal RNA, 446 nt
Filed under: Lachnoanaerobaculum saburreum
Lineage: Bacteria; Bacillati; Bacillota; Clostridia; Lachnospirales; Lachnospiraceae
Description: bacterial SSU rRNA
Rfam family: Bacterial small subunit ribosomal RNA
Source: RNAcentral